GUAAUUGUUCUUUUCCCAAAGGGUCCCAAAUCAAUAGCCCUAACUUCUUCUAUCUCUCUAUCUCGUCUGUUUGCCUCCCGACCUUCCCUUCAUCUUCUUCCGUCUCUCUCUCGGUCUUCAUCGGCGAAGGCGAAACAGUCCGACGGCGGCAGCUACGGCGGUGGAGGUGAGCCAGGCGGCGACGAUAGCGGCGAGGCAGUCGGGCGGCGACCUCGCGACCAGCAGCCCUCCAGCGACCUUGUUCCCCUGUUUCGGCGUCCGACAGCUUCUCGACGUCACUGAGCAGCAGCGGGCAUUAGGUUGGCGUCUCCUCUCUAGCUUGGUCUCGAACGGCAGCAAGAAGGCCAUGGCGGUUGGGGUGGUGGUGGUAGCCGGCAGUGGUGGUGGUUGGCGGUGGCAAUGGUGUAUUGAGGAAGAUGGUGGACGGUGAUGGUAGCCGGAGCAGUAAUGGACGGAAGUAGAGGAUUAAAGAUGGGCUAAUGAUGAUUAACAGUGGAGUUAAGGAGUUAAGGAGGUUCCCUAUCAUUGUGGGCUAGCUUACGAGUUGAACCUAUGAUUUGGCGAUGCUUUUGAGAGCUUAGCUUUGAGGACCUGGACUUGUGGCUAGUUGAGAGCACGGCGUAGAACUUGUGCCCGGGAAUUGAUUAUGGUAUAGAUGUAUAAAUUAGAAUUUGAUCUGUUGAUGUUAUAGUUAGUUCUGAAUGGUCCAAUGACCGGUGUAUGUGGGUUUCGAUAGAACCUUAUAGCCCGUGCGUUUGAGCUUAGUUGUAGCCAAACGUGGCAUAACACCCCUUUUGUUUAAAGUUUUGGUUUCGCUUCCGCAUUUAUAUUCAGUCUUUUAGUAUCAAAAUAUUUUAUUUUGAUUUAA
Molecule: long non-coding RNA, 868 nt
Organism: Ipomoea triloba (trilobed morning glory)
Lineage: Eukaryota; Viridiplantae; Streptophyta; Magnoliopsida; Solanales; Convolvulaceae
Exons: 3
Source: RefSeq, a predicted model, not a curated record